GCGCUGCUGAGGCUGGACACGAAGAGUCUGCUGAGGGAGGUGGAGGAGGAGCAGCACCACCAGCAGCAGUCACAAAACCACCACGUCUUCAACACGCCUCCGCCCACGCCCCCGGAGCUGCUGCCCUCGCACGACUUCAGCGACCUGAGGCUGCUGAUGGACGCGGCGCUGCAGAGGGCGGCCGAGCAGGAGAGCCAGAAGAGGAGGGAAGAGGAGGAGAAGAAGCGGGCCAAGGAUUUGGAGGAGAGCAGGAAUCUGGGAUCCACGCCACCUCCUGAGGACAGUCAGCAGGUGCUGGCCCCGUCCCAAGCUCAGAUCUUGAUGGAGAAGGCCAUGUCUCCGCCUGUCUCCUCGAUGCCAGCCCACGCCCGCCCUCCUCGCCGCUGGUCCUGGCCGCGCCCCCCACGCUCACCAAAGUCAUCUGGAGCGCCCUGGAAAAAGACAAAGCCAGCGCCAGCUCGGACUCGCCGCCCCCCCCUCCUCCUCAUCCUCCUUCAGGCGCCCCCCCGGCCCCGUCGUCUUCUUCUUCUUCCCAGCCCGCUCCCGCCAUCACGCUGGUCCCCGCGCCCCUGAGCCUCCCCGUCUACCUCCCUGUCCACAAAUACUCCAUCUCCUGCCCGUCGACGGCGAGCGCGGCCCACACCGUGACCAUGGCGCCCGUCCGCAUGGUCACGCAGGCGGCUUCGAACCGACAGGCCAGCGUCUGGGGCGUGGUUCACCCCGACGGCCGGCAGACCGGGGCGCUCAAAGUGGUGCAGGCGCCCAUCGCGGCCGUGUGGGCGCCCAACAAGCACAACCUGCACCAGGAGAUCGUCAACUAGAGCGCCCGGGACCAGACUUUGUAAAUAGCGGGACGUACUGAGGGACACGCCUUCGAAAAAAACGGACCAGGGGCGGGGGUUCGUCUACAGUGACUUCUUUUUGGAGACGGUUUUUAACUUUUAGCACCAGCACAUUUCCGCAGCAGAGAACAACUGAAUGUAGAAAACUCUCACUUUUCAUUUUGGGGAAUCCUAAAGCUGGAUAAAUGUAUUUUUAAAAUCUCUUUAAAAAAAAAUAUUCAGGUUUGUUACUAUUUUUUGGUUUUGUUACUAUUUCCAUGCGUGUUGUUGUUUUUUUACGAUGCUAACUAAGCGGUGACGAGCUAAAAGAGCAGAACAGACUUUUCUUUUAUCAGGAGAGUGUUUUUUCUCCCAAUUAAAUGCUGUACAGCAGGGGAGGGCCGAUUUUCAUUAUUGGCCGAACCUCACCAUUGUAGCCUAAAGUAAAUAACUUUUUUCUACAAAUACCAAUGUUUUUACAUCAGUGGUUCUCAAAUGGUUUGGCUUCAAGACCCAACAUUACCCUCGUAUGACCAGCCACGACCCAAAUGAAAAUGUGAUUUGUCAUAUAUUGUAUAAAAAUUUUAUUUUCCACACAAGUUUUUGUUGCACAAGCAGUAGAUCUGCCUUUAAGACUGAAAUUAGGAUCAAAACAACUCAAUAACAUUAAUUUUAACAGACUCUGUUAGUGAUUCCAUGCAGUUUCAGAUGGAAAAUAUUGAAUAAAAGUUCCUUAUAGGCACGCCCCACUGAAAAUGGUUCCGUGAUCCACUUUGGGUCCCGACUCACCAGUUGAGAACCACAAGUGGGACGCUCUGCCAGGAUAUUUUUUUAAAUACUGACGCUAUUUCUCACAUUUUUAGGGUACUUUAACAGGUAUUUGAUCUCUUAUUUGCAUAAUAAUAAUAUUUCUCAAAUCAUCUUGGGGGGCCAGAGGUUCUGUGCUGGAGGGCCGGAUUUGGCCCCUGGGCCUGACGUUGCAUACCCCUGCUGUACAGUAUGAACGUAGAAAGCAUAAGCGACCUGGAAGACGCUCAGACAGUGAGCAGAGCGGCCGCUGUGGGAAAACCCAGGAAAGGAGAAUCUGUCAAAACCUUGAUACGACCUUCAUCCACAUUUCUAAUACUUAUUGGCCUUGGUUAUUUUUGUUGAAAUACAAACACUUAAUUUUUUUUUUUUAAUGAAACUGACUAAAACUAGACCAAAAGCUUUUGAGUUUUGUCAGCAAAAAUAGAAAUGACUUUAAAGCAUUUGCAUUAUUCCAUAUCAUUUUAACUUUGAUCCUUGGACGUUCAAAAACGUGGCAGCUUUAUCUGAUGAAUUGAAUGAACAUACAAAAAACUCUUUCAUUGUGUGUUUUUAUUUUUUAAUUUUUUUUUUUUAGACGUUUUAGUAAGUUUUUCGAUAAACAUUUGUUUCACCAAAACAGAAACCGUUUCGGCACCAGCCACUUUGGCCUCUGUCGUAGCCGAUGUAGGAAUGAUUUGACCUAUCAACAAUUUUACAAAAGACACAUUUUUUUAAGCUUUUUGUAACCAUAGUUUUCUCAUUUCUCCAAGUCGUAGUCACUCAGCACCAGCAGCACGCUUCAGUAACAGUGAAUGUAGAGAAAACGAGUCUUUCUUCAAAACUCUAUAAUUCAAAAAAUUAUAAAAUGUAUUCUCUCCACAAACGUGCACCCGUUUGAUCGGUCCUGCAUUUUUAAACUUUUUUUUUUGCUUUUGAAAAGAUGAAAUAUGCACCAAAAAGUUUAUUUCAGAGUCCUGAAUGUUUCAUGUAUAUGUUAAAUACAGUUUUUGUUUUAAAUGAUCUACUGUUUACAUGUUAUUUCUUUGGGAGGAGUGCAUUUUCAUAUUGAAGUCCUCUCCUGCCUCGGGUCUUCCUCCUGUUUCCUGGCAGCUCCAACCUCCACAUCCUUCCCACAGAUCAAUCUGGAAACGUUUCUCUAAAACAUCUCGCGUGAAGUGUCAGAAUUGUAUUUUCUAUGAACAAAGUAACCUCAGCGUCUCUAAGCAGUUGUAGCAGCCCUGUCUUUCAACUCUGUAAUUUGAUUUGAUCGAUUUUGCGCACCAUGUUCUUGUAGUUUCCAUGAAACUUUAUUCAUUAUGUUUUUACAAUAUUGGAGCACAACAGUGGGUUGGUGUCGAACUAGAUCCCAUUCAUUUUUCCCAUAGAUUAUUUUUUUUUUUUUUUUCACUCUUUUUAGCUGUUUUCUGGCGGACUAUAAACAUAUACAGUCAAGCCAAAAUCCAUCCUGUCCAUCUGGAUGUUUUUUAUUCACAGCAAAUUGUGCAGUAGAAGCGAAAAGCUGCACUCGUCGCUAACGUAGCAUGCAGCUAACGUUAGCUUUGUGAGCUUCCUGGGGGGGGGUCGACCCUACGUUCCCCAGGUCGGGUGUUGCGUCAAAGUGAAAGAAUAAGUUUACUUAUACCAUGGUCUGGGUGAAACUCAAAUCUGAUUGGCGUUAGAACUGUAUAACGCACAGUUAUGGUGCGUUCCAGGCAACCGGUAUAUUUCCCACUUGAAACUUACGACCUGAGUGCGUUCCAGGUGAUUAAAAAUGUUAAAAACAUGUGACAUCAUGUUAUGUUGAAAGCUGUGACCAAAAUUAGCAUUGACAUCACUGAUGCAGUGGUUUUGUUACAGUGUUAACAUUAGCUACUCCUCCACUGGAGGCGCCAUUACUGUCUUCAUCUCGCAUACGAACUCGAAGCAGUCUGGAGGUUUCCGAGUUUACAAGUUGUAAUUACCAGUUCGAGUGGCGUAAAAAGUAGACCAUGGCAUAAAUAAAUGGGUAUUUUAUUUUACAAAACGCAAUUAGGGUUAAUGUUUGCCAGCGUUUAUUGGGUUUUAGCCAAUGGUUUAGCGCAUGUGGAAAUGCUUCUGUUCGCAGGAUUUGUUUGAAAUUAUAUCCUUAUUGUAGUUUUAAAAGACUAGGCUAAAUAACAAGCCUUUGUUUUAUUUAUUUUUUAUUCCGUCAAUAGAAGUGUGAGGACAUGGGGCUCGGGGAAUGCUAACCAAUUUUUCCUGGUUAGCAUUGUCCGUUUUUUAAAGUAUUUAUAGGCUGUUGAACUUUGCUCCUCGACAUGUCUCUGUAUCUUUAUUUAGUAGAAAAAUAUAUUCAUAAUUCAGCAUUUGUUAAAUUAAUGGUGGAGAAAUGGGGAAAAGUUUUUAUUUAAUGUUAUAUCUUUGUUUUUCCUCUAUGCCUCAAACAUCACUAUACAGUAGAUGGGCAAUUCCAAACAUGCUGUCUGUAUCUAUGCUAAAACCUUCCAAUAUGUAUAAUAAGCAAGAGUCAUUUACUGUGUUUUAAAACAAUUUUCCAGUGUUAUAUGAACCGAAAAGUAGUCCUCUUUGUUCAGCUCAAUAGCUAUAGCUAUAUAGUUUUGUCAUUGGCGAGCCAGAGAUUUCCAGUUAGUAACUACUACACCACGGCAACUGACUUUUCCCCCACGCUUAAUCAUUCACAAAUACUGACUCAUUAAGCAUCCAUGUGUUCAGUGAAAGGCGACCGAGAUGAAGCUGUAAUCCAAAUAUGGUCAUUUCCUUUCUGGGAGACUAAAGAUGGGGAGAAAUAUACAGGCGCAUGUACAGACGUUACAAAACUCUAAAUGAUGUUUCAUUCCACUUUUCUGCAUCUCCAAAGUGGAGAGUUUGUUGUAAAAGUCCUACCGACCUUGGUUUUUGAGCUUUGCACCCAAAAAAAAAAGACUAAAUAUAAAUUGCUCAUAAACUAAAGAAGAGCCUAAAUCCCUCUAAAAAAAAUCUUGGUAACUAAUAAAUCAACAAAAUAAAAGCAUACAUUUAAUCCUGGCUCUAUUAUUUUGAUCUUGUCACUGAAUAUAGCGGUGAUUUUGGUCAUUUUUAUGUUGUUUUUUUUCUCUUUUCACCGUCAGCAUCUGGCCUUAAACUCUUUAAUAUUUCUGUAAAAAAUCUUUGGGGAAAAACUCACUUUGUUGUGCUCCUUUUGUGUUACUUUGACUCUCAACUUUUGUGAGAACCAAAACUCUAAUUACUCUACUUCAGUUUCUAAGCACAAUCCAGUCCACGUUUCUGCUCCCGUCGUUUUGGCCAGUAUAACUCUUUUUUUGUAUACCUCAGCGUUGAAUGUCCGAUCUCUCGUUGGAUUUCUGCCACAGCGCCUCUAGUGGCCGAAUCAUGUCUGCAAACCCGUUUCUUUAACUGCGGUUGUUCGUUUGACUGAAUAAUGUUGUUUGUAAAUAAUAGUUUUUUGUAGCAUGAGUUCUGAAGCGUCUUUAGCCAAAUACAAACGUCAUGGUCAGUUCGUUGCAGUAUAGGACUGAGUGUUGUGCCUUAAAUCGAUGGAUGUCUCUCUAUGAUCAAACUUCUCAAUAGAAACAGUGCAAUAUACGCCUCAAAUCUGUUUUGUAUUCUUCAGAAAAUAAAAACCUUUUUGUACAUCUGUCUGUUGUGUUGUCAUUAUAGAAAUUCUG
This 5275-nucleotide long non-coding RNA is filed under the name Neogobius melanostomus (round goby). RNAcentral's name for it is "lncRNA (ENSNMLG00000007950.1)". Lineage: Eukaryota; Metazoa; Chordata; Actinopteri; Gobiiformes; Gobiidae. The record is from RNAcentral.